Molecule: transfer RNA, 76 nt
Filed under: Acidithiobacillus ferrooxidans
Lineage: Bacteria; Pseudomonadati; Pseudomonadota; Acidithiobacillia; Acidithiobacillales; Acidithiobacillaceae
Also listed under: 1 other name
Description: tRNA-Val
Rfam family: tRNA
About the family: Transfer RNA (tRNA) molecules are approximately 80 nucleotides in length. Their secondary structure includes four short double-helical elements and three loops (D, anti-codon, and T loops). Further hydrogen bonds mediate the characteristic L-shaped molecular structure. tRNAs have two regions of fundamental functional importance: the anti-codon, which is responsible for specific mRNA codon recognition, and the 3' end, to which the tRNAs corresponding amino acid is attached (by aminoacyl-tRNA synthetases). tRNAs cope with the degeneracy of the genetic code in two manners: having more than one tRNA (with a specific anti-codon) for a particular amino acid; and 'wobble' base-pairing, i.e. permitting non-standard base-pairing at the 3rd anti-codon position.
Source: RNAcentral
GCAGGUUUAGCUCAGACGGGAGAGCGUCGGUUUUACACGCCGAAUGUCGCGGGUUCGAUCCCUGCAACCUGCACCA